GCCGGAAUGAAUGAGGGAUGUAUAAGAAAAAGGGAUGGAGGAAGAUCAAGCCUAGCUAGGAGGCAAAGGAUGGAGUUUCAACUGGCCAGUGACAUGCACCCACAUCACCAGGGCACCCAGGAGGAAGGCCGUUUGGAAGGAAUGAGACCAGGUAAUGAAUUCUGAUACAACGACUCUCCCACGCUUAGAAAGAACAAGAGCUGCUGUCUGGCAAGGAUGAGACUCAGACUCUAAACUCAGAUGGGGCAUACCUUGAACUGGAACACAGGUGUCUGCACGGACCUCUCAGCUCACGAUGUUCUCAAGUUCUCUGUGGAAGUGGACACAGCAUCACACGGUUCAUCAAGACAGCUGGUGCUUCUGCUCAGGAAGCUCGAGGGGCAAGGAACAGCCUCUCCGCAUGUUUUACCCCAAUGCCAGCCUGCUGCCAAUGCAACUUAAUGGACUCUGCUUUUGGAGCCCAGCAGCCUUCCGUGGGCUAUAAUCUACCCAUCAUUAGCGAACAACCAAAAAGCUCCUCUAGAACACGCUUCGGACAUCGAAACCUGUUUAACAGGAAGGGCCCAGUCGUACUGUGAGACUGCCCAUAUGCCUCUUGGGUCCCUUCUUACAACCUGCCCCUAACUACUGGAGCUGAGGGGAGUGAGGACACAGCCCGGCACCCCAGCCUUGCCUGGCCUCCCCACUUCUUCCCCACAGUGCAGUCCCAGCCAGCCUCUGUUCGGCCCCACCUAAUUCCCCUACCACAUGGGUCCAAAGCCCGGCUUGCUUGGCCUAAAGCCUAGCUUCCUAAGGGUCCUGGGUGACCCUGGCAUGCCUGGGGGCCCUCAGAAUGCAGUUUCCCUUUACCUCCACUGAGUCCACACACGAUGUCUGCGAGGAACAGCGGCAGAGAGGGAGUGGGCUUUGGAGUCAGACAGGCCUGGGUUCGGAUCUCAGCUCAGCCACUUCCUUGCUGUAGACUUAUUCCCUCUUGUGGUGCUAUUUUUAGUAUUUCAUCUUAUUUGUCUUAGUCUGCCUUGGUUUCCUGGUCAUCCUCCUAGGCUACCAGAUUUCCAGGUGAGGCUCAUCCCAAUCUACUUGGCCAGAGUCUCAGUGCCUGCCUACCUAUCCUCCAGUGCUCACCCUGGGGUGACUGGGACCUGUCUCCUGAUCCUCGGCUAUUUCCUGGGUCCACCUGGGUGUCAGCCUCUCAUUUCCCAACUCCUGGGGUCCACCCCUUCAGAGUCCGGCCCAUAGCCUGCCUCAUCUCCCUGGCCCACAGCCUUAUUCUCCUCCCCCAAGUCUCCUACUGAGAGCCCAGAAAGCAUCACAGCUGAGCCCACCUGGAACAUAACACUCCACUGCUGAGUAAGCUCCCCUUGCAGCUAAAAUCGUUUUUUCGAUAGUGAGGAUUUCUUGCUAAUGAACUGGCUAAAUAAUCUUCAGCUCACUUCUGAAUGAAUACAACUGGUUCUAGUCAAAGGCGCUUCGGAUCACUGGGCCGAGCUUUUCUUCCUUCCCCACACCACAGUCCUACGUCCUUUGCAUUCCUGCCAUAAUUUACACAUUAAACUUUUCUUUUUUUUUUUUUUUUUGAGACAAAGUCUCUGUCGCCCAGGCUGGAGUGCAGUGGUGUGAUCUCGGCUCACUGCAACCUCCACCUUCCAGGUUCAAGUGAUAAUUGUGCCUUCCGAGUAGCUGGGAUUACAGGCACCUACCACCACACCCAGCUAAUUUUUGUAUUUUUA
Long non-coding RNA from Callithrix jacchus (white-tufted-ear marmoset), 1730 nucleotides. RefSeq lists it as uncharacterized. Lineage: Eukaryota; Metazoa; Chordata; Mammalia; Primates; Cebidae. The record is from RefSeq and is a predicted model, not a curated record.